CCCUUAGAUGUUCUGGGCCGCACGCGUGCUACACUGGUGAAUACAGCGAGUGUCCAUUCCCUUGACCGAAAGGUCUGGGUAAUCUUAAGAAAGUUCAUCGUGACAGGGAUUGAUCAUUGCAAUUAUUGAUCAUGAACGAGGAAUUCCUAGUAAAGGCGAGUCAUCAUCUCGCUUUGAUUACGUCCCUGCCCUUUGUACACACCGCCCGUCGCUACUACCGAUUGAAUGGUUUAGUGAGAUCUCCGGAUUGGCGGCCUUGGUACCUUCACGGGUCCAACGGUUCUGCCGAGAAGCUGCUCGAACUUGAUCAUUUAGAGGAAGUAAAAGUCGUAACA
RNAcentral lists this ribosomal RNA (335 nucleotides) under uncultured eukaryote. Its description in RNAcentral is "partial 18S ribosomal RNA". It matches the Rfam family "Eukaryotic small subunit ribosomal RNA", at positions 1470 to 1796 of the family's 1831-position model. The record is from RNAcentral.